CGUUCAUCCAGAGCAGCCGAGGGACUGGCCCUACGACGCUGCGGCAACCCCCGUAAUCGGGAAGGUGCCAAAUCCAGCGGGUUUUCCGACAGAUGAAGC
This is a regulatory RNA element of 99 nucleotides. It matches the Rfam family "SAM riboswitch aptamer (S box leader)". From Rfam's summary of the family: The SAM riboswitch is found upstream of a number of genes which code for proteins involved in methionine or cysteine biosynthesis in Gram-positive bacteria. The SAM riboswitch acts at the level of transcription termination control. The predicted structure consists of a complex stem-loop region followed by a single stem loop terminator region. The record is from Rfam.